RNAcentral lists this ribosomal RNA (490 nucleotides) under uncultured Lachnospiraceae bacterium. RNAcentral describes it as "bacterial SSU rRNA". It matches the Rfam family "Bacterial small subunit ribosomal RNA", at positions 17 to 507 of the family's 1533-position model. The record is from RNAcentral. Lineage: Bacteria; Bacillati; Bacillota; Clostridia; Lachnospirales; Lachnospiraceae.
UCCUGGCUCAGGAUGAACGCUGGCGGCGUGCUUAACACAUGCAAGUCGAACGAAGCACCUGAGAAUGAUUCUUCGGAUGAAGUCUCUUGUGACUGAGUGGCGGACGGGUGAGUAACGCGUGGGUAACCUGCCUCACACAGGGGGAUAACAGUUGGAAACGACCGCUAAUACCGCAUAACCCGCUGGUGCCGCAUGGCACUGACGGAAAAGAUUUAUCGGUGUGAGAUGGACCCGCGUCUGAUUAGCCAGUUGGCAGGGUAACGGCCUACCAAAGCGACGAUCAGUAGCCGGCCUGAGAGGGUGAACGGCCACAUUGGGACUGAGACACGGCCCAGACUCCUGCGGGAGGCAGCAGUGGGGAAUAUUGCACAAUGGGGGAAACCCUGAUGCAGCGACGCCGCGUGAGUGAAGAAGUAUUUCGAUAUGUAAAGCUCUAUCAGCAGGGAAGAAAAUGACGGUACCUGAUUAAGAAGCCCCGGCUAACUACGUG